This 1050-nucleotide long non-coding RNA is filed under the name Lonchura striata (white-rumped munia). RNAcentral describes it as "domestica (Bengalese finch) lncRNA (ENSLSDG00000003091.1)". The record is from RNAcentral. Lineage: Eukaryota; Metazoa; Chordata; Aves; Passeriformes; Estrildidae.
AUGUCUAUGUGGGAGGCCCUAGAGCAGUCCUGGGCAGGGGUCUCUGUCCCCUGUCCAGUGUCCCCCGUCCCAUGUCCUAUCCCGUGUCCCAUCCCCUGUUCCCUGUCCUGUCCCGUGUCCCGUCCUGUGUCCCCAGUCCCGUGUCCCCCAUCCCGUCACAUCAUGUGUCACAUCCUGUGUCCCGUGUCACAUCCCGUGUCCCGUCCCAUGUCCCCCAUCUCAUGUCCCAUCCUGUGUCCCAUCCCCUAUCCUGUCCCAUGUCUCGUGUUCCCUGUCCUGUAUCCUCUCCUCUGUCCCCUCCCGUGUCCCAUCUUGUUUUCCCUGUCCCCUCCCCGAUCCCAUUCCCAUGUCCCCUGUCCCGUGUCCCCAUUCCCAUGUCCCCUGUCCCGUGUCCCCUGUCCCGUGUCCCCCGUCCCGUGUCCCAUUCCCGUGUCCCAUUCCCGUGUCCCCUGUCCCGUGUCCCCUGUCCCGUGUCCCAUUCCCGUGUCCCCUUCCCGUGUCCCCUGUCCCCUGUCCCAUUCCCGUGUCCCCUGUCCCAUGUCCCCAUUCCCGUGUCCCCUGUCCCGUGUCCCAUUCCCCUGUCCCAUUCCCCUGUCCCAUUCCCGUGUCCCCAUUCCCGUGUCCCAUUCCUGUGUCCCAUUCCCGUGUCCCCAUUCCCGUGCCCCAUUUCCCUGUCCCAUUCCUGUGUCCCCAUUCCCGUGUCCCCAUUCCCGUGUCCCAUUCCCGUGUCCCAUUCCCGUGUCCCUGUCCCGUGUCCCAUUCCCCUCUCCCACUCCCGUGUCCCAUUCUCGUGUCCGCUGUCCCGUGUCCCCUGUCCCGUGUCCCAUUCCCGUGUCCCAUUCCCGUGUCCCCAUUCCCGUGUCCCAUUCCUGUGUCCCCAUUCCCGUGUCCCCAUUCCCGUGUCCCAUUCCCGUGUCCCACUCCCGUGUCCCAUUCCCGUGUCCCACUCCCGUGUCCCCAUUCCCGUGUCCCACUCCCGUGUCCCACUCCCGUGUCCCAUUCCCGUGUCCCCUGUCCCGUGUCUCCUGUCCCGUGUCCCAUUCCCGUAUC